RNAcentral lists this ribosomal RNA (468 nucleotides) under uncultured bacterium. RNAcentral describes it as "partial 16S ribosomal RNA". It matches the Rfam family "Bacterial small subunit ribosomal RNA", at positions 28 to 507 of the family's 1533-position model. The record is from RNAcentral.
GACGAACGCUGGCGGCGUGCUUAACACAUGCAAGUCGAACGGUAAGGCCCUGCUUUUUUGGUGUGCUCGAGUGGCGAACGGGUGAGUAACACUUGAGUAACCUGCCCUUGACUUUGGGAUAACUUCAGGAAACUGGGGCUAGUACCGGAUAGGAACUCCUUCUUCAGUGUGGGGGUAGGAAAGUGUCGGGGGUUGUGGCUGGACUCGCGGCUUAUCAGCUUGUUGGUGGGGUAGUGGCUUACCAAGGCUUUGACGGGUAGCCGGCCUGAGAGGGUGACCGGACACAUUGGGACUGCGAUACGGCCCAGACUCCUACGGGAGGCAGCAGUGGGAAAUAUUGCACAAUGGGCGGAAGCGUGAUGCAGAAACGCCGCGUGAGGGAUGACGGCCUUCGGGGUGUAAACCGCUUUAGCCUGUGACGAAGCGUGAGUGACGGUAAUGGGUAAAGAAGCACCGGCUAACUACGUG